RNAcentral lists this ribosomal RNA (468 nucleotides) under uncultured bacterium. RNAcentral describes it as "partial 16S ribosomal RNA". It matches the Rfam family "Bacterial small subunit ribosomal RNA", at positions 28 to 507 of the family's 1533-position model. The record is from RNAcentral.
GACGAACGCUGGCGGCGUGCUUAACACAUGCAAGUCGAACGGAAAGGCCCUGCUUUUGUGGGGUGCUCGAGUGGCGAACGGGUGAGUAACACGUGAGUAACCUGCCCUUGACUUUGGGAUAACUUCAGGAGACUGGGGCUAAUACCGGAUAGGAGCUCCUGCUGCAUGGUGGGGGUUGGAAAGUUUCGGCGGUUGGGGAUGGACUCGCGGCUUAUCAGCUUGUUGGUGGGGUAGUGGCUUACCAAGGCUUUGACGGGUAGCCGGCCUGAGAGGGUGACCGGCCACAUUGGGACUGAGAUACGGCCCAGACUCCUACGGGAGGCAGCAGUGGGGAAUAUUGCACAAUGGGCGGAAGCCUGAUGCAGCAACGCCGCGUGCGGGAUGACGGCCUUCGGGGUGUAAACCGCUUUCGCCUGUGACGAAGCGUGAGUGACGGUAAUGGGUAAAGAAGCACCGGCUAACUACGUG